UGUCCAGUAACUCCUAUCCCUACCUCCCCAUGGUGUAACCGUAGGGAAGAUUGGGUAACCAACCCCGAUGGGACCUUGGUCGUAUGCUGACAGGGAAGG
RNAcentral lists this ribozyme (99 nucleotides) under Aedes aegypti (yellow fever mosquito). Its description in RNAcentral is "drz-agam-1 ribozyme". It matches the Rfam family "drz-agam-1 ribozyme". The record is from Rfam by way of RNAcentral. Lineage: Eukaryota; Metazoa; Arthropoda; Insecta; Diptera; Culicidae.